RNAcentral lists this long non-coding RNA (284 nucleotides) under Lathyrus oleraceus (garden pea). Its description in RNAcentral is "Pisum sativum (pea) long non-coding RNA (PSAT_LNC015944)". Lineage: Eukaryota; Viridiplantae; Streptophyta; Magnoliopsida; Fabales; Fabaceae. The record is from RNAcentral.
UUUUCAUUCAAUUAAUGCAUUGUUAAACAUUUGUUUUUCCAUUUGUUUUCACUUUUUGCUUUUUGCAUGAAAUCAGUGAUCACAAAGAACCCAUGAAAAACAAGAAAACUUUUUCAUCUGCAUAAAUGAUUUGCUUGUUUAAAAAUUUAAAAGCUUUUCAUUAUCCAGAAUCAUUAUGCAGGGAUUUCUAAACCCAUUGAACAUAAUGAUCCAACGCCAUCUCCCAAUCUUGAAUUAUUUGUAUUCGAAGCAGAGGAAGAUGAUGUUGAAGGGGAUUCCUGAUG